Molecule: long non-coding RNA, 1811 nt
Filed under: Piliocolobus tephrosceles (Ugandan red Colobus)
Lineage: Eukaryota; Metazoa; Chordata; Mammalia; Primates; Cercopithecidae
Description: lncRNA (ENSPTEG00000006692.1)
Source: RNAcentral
UUUAAUUAAUCAUAAUUUUUUUAAAAAAAAGUUUCAUUUUUUUUUUAAAUUUAAUGAUAUUUCAAAUAUACAAUUUUUAAUCAACUUAUCCAAAUUAAAUGUAUUACAAAUCACUCAAUAUGAUUGCACUGUAACAAAUAAAUAUGAAAUAAUACAAGACACGUUAAUUAAUUACAUAAAUCAUUUGUUGGGUCUGUUAUUUAAAUUGGAUGAAAAGGGCGUUCCUGCUUCUACAACUUCCCCAACUGCCUCAACUAUCUCAACAUCCUCAACUAUCUCAACAUCCUCAACUACCGUUUCUACUGCAGCUACUUUAAACAAUAACAACACUGUUAUCAGCUCUGUACCAAACAAAACACAAUUGUCCACAGAAUAUAACAAUGAUAACCAUGAUACACAAAAAAUAAAUGAACAAAAUAACAGCAAAACCAAAAAUGUGAACAAAGAAGAUAGUAGUAACCAGCCCUAUAGCAUGGUAAACAUUAAAAAAAUAAUCAGUAAUAUGUUUCGAUUCAAUAGUAGAUUACUAAAACAUGUGUACAAUAACAAUAUCAAUAGUGAUAAAUAUAAUUUUAAUAGUUAUGAUCAAAAGAGUAAAAAGAAAUGCCAAAAAAAUAAAAUAUUAUUAAAAGAAUUAAUAUAUCAAUCUCUAGACUAUAUCACAUUAAAUGAAAAAACAAGUUGUAUUUCCAAUAAAUGGAAUAAUAAUAAUUUAUUUAAUUUAUGUUUAUAUAACAUAAUAAAAUAUAUUGAAAAGAAACAUAAAUUUACAUAUGUGGGAAGUAAUGAUAAUAACAAUACAAAACAUGAUACUGAGAUUUCUAAUAGUAAUGAAAAAAAAAAUAAAGAAAAUGAUGAAAAUUUAUUAUUUAAUAUUAUUAAUAUAGAUGUAGAUAAUAAAAUAAAAAAUAAAAAUUAUUCAUAUACCGAAAGUUUGUUAAAACGAAUAAAUGAAUUACUUAAUUUGACUAAAAAAUCAUCUCUUUAUAUUAACACAGGAUUACACAUUAUUUUACGCAAUUACUGUAUACUCAAUAUAAACCUUUUAAACUUUGAUUUAUUAUUUCUUUUUAAUUUGUAUUCAAACAAUAAUUUUAGAAAUAAAUUUUUUCAUUAUAAUUAUGAUAUCUUAUCUGCAUCAAUUAAUCAAGGUUUGAGUGACAGUAAUAAUGCAGGUAGUACUUCCAGUAACAGUACCAAUCCAAACAAAACACAUGUAGAAGAAAAACUCAACACACAACUAGGUAUUAAAAUGUCAAAUGUAACAAACUUAAAUAUAUUUUCCUCCAAAUCUGGAUCAACAAACAAUACGAAAGAUGAAAAAAUAAACCAAGAAGUUAGAAAUAAAGCAGAAGAUGUGGCAAAAAAUAAAAAAAAUAACCAAAAAUACAAUGAGUUAAUGUAUAUUUUAAAGAUUUUUGCUAAUUGUUUAGCAUGCCAAGAUCUUAAUUAUAAUUCAUUUUCAGUUUUAUAUUUUAUGUAUAAAAAUUUAUUACAAAACAUUAUGAAAAUAUGUUUUAAUUUUACAUAUGUUGUAAGUACUGAGUUUUUUUUUUUCAAUGACGGUAUAAAUCUAAUGUCAGUCGAAAAUUUAAAAAGAGAGCAAAUACCAAGUACUUUAUUAUUUGAUAGUAUAAGAGCCUUUACAAAUAUUAAAUCUUAUUAUAAAUAUUUUUAUCAUAUGUUAAAAAAGGAACAUGAUGAAACGGAAACAAAAACGGAAACAAAAACAGAAACAAAAAAGGAGAUAAAAAAGGAACCCCUUUUGUUGAGAAGUUUGCAUAUGUAUGCGAUACAGCAAGAGGAGAUAA